RNAcentral lists this ribosomal RNA (789 nucleotides) under uncultured Actinomycetes bacterium. RNAcentral's name for it is "bacterial SSU rRNA". It matches the Rfam family "Bacterial small subunit ribosomal RNA", at positions 573 to 1359 of the family's 1533-position model. Lineage: Bacteria; Bacillati; Actinomycetota; Actinomycetes. The record is from RNAcentral.
AGGUGGUUUGUCGCGUCGUUAGUGAAAGCCCGGGGCUUAACUCCGGGUCUGCUGGCGAUACGGGCAUAACUUGAGUGCUGUAGGGGAGACUGGAAUUCCUGGUGUAGCGGUGGAAUGCGCAGAUAUCAGGAGGAACACCGAUGGCGAAGGCAGGUCUCUGGGCAGUAACCGACGCUGAGGAGCGAAAGCAUGGGUAGCGAACAGGAUUAGAUACCCUGGUAGUCCAUGCCGUAAACGGUGGGCGCUAGGUGUGGGGGUUUUUCACGACUUCCGUGCCGUAGCUAACGCAUUAAGCGCCCCGCCUGGGGAGUACGGCCGCAAGGCUAAAACUCAAAGGAAUUGACGGGGGCCCGCACAAGCGGCGGAGCAUGUGGAUUAAUUCGAUGCAACGCGAAGAACCUUACCUUGGGCUUGACAUGUACGGGAUCGGCGUAGAGAUACGUUUUCCCUUGUGGCUCGUAUACAGGUGGCGCAUGGUUGUCGUCAGCUCGUGUCGUGAGAUGUUGGGUUAAGUCCCGCAACGAGCGCAACCCUUGUCUUGUGUUGCCAGCACGUGAUGGUGGGGACUCGCGAGAGACUGCCGGGGUUAACUCGGAGGAAGGUGGGGAUGACGUCAAAUCAUCAUGCCCCUUAUGUCCAGGGCUUCACACAUGCUACAAUGGUCGGUACAGUGGGUUGCGAUACCGUGAGGUGGAGCUAAUCCCUUAAAGCCGGUCUCAGUUCGGAUUGGAGUCUGCAACUCGACUCCAUGAAGUCGGAGUCGCUAGUAAUCGCAGAUCAGCAACGCUG